RNAcentral lists this ribosomal RNA (2127 nucleotides) under Triticum aestivum (bread wheat). RNAcentral's name for it is "partial small subunit ribosomal RNA". Lineage: Eukaryota; Viridiplantae; Streptophyta; Magnoliopsida; Poales; Poaceae. The record is from RNAcentral.
AUGGCCGACGUCCCCGACGAAUCCGCCACCCAAACCCAGGCCCGCGGGUGCAGCCUGUAUCCCUUCUCGUUCCCUUCCCAGCCGCCGGACAUCAGGAACUGGUUCUCGAGUUACCAGUACGAGUCGCCGGAGGUGCCGGAGCUGGCUGUUGACCCUCCUGCCGUCGACAACGGCAGCGAGACCCAAGACCCGUUGGAGUUCCGGGUGGCUGGGCAUUCAUUUCUGAAGCAAGCCCCUCGGGAUGGCAGUACUGAUUUGAAGGGGGGCUGUUUUGGGAGCCAAGCUGAACCUGUUGAGGUUUCUGCCAGAGAAGAUAUCCUUCCGAUUUGUAGGAGCACGGUGGAAAAGGGCAUGAAAAGGAAGCAAAGCCUGCGGGGGCUGUUUGGGUCAGGUUUUCUGGACGACCAUGAAGAAGGUAUUCAAACUGAAAGUCAGGUUGUGUCGCCUGUGCAGAGAAGUGCAGUGGAUCCUCCGUGGAGCCGCAACUGGGUAGGCUUACAGAAUACAAAGCGCAGCCAUGAAGGCAUGGUGGAAUACAGCGAGCUGCCGACUGAUAGUGAGAGCACUUGUAUAGCUGAAACUCAAACUGAAAGUCGAGUGGUGUUGCCUGUGCUGAGAAGUGCAGUGGAUCCUCCAUGGGACUGCAACUGGAUAGGCUUAAGGAAUGGAAAGCGCAGCCAUGAAGGCAUAGUUGAAUACAGCGAGCUGGAUAGUGAGAGUACUUGUAUAGCUGAAACACAAGAAAACCCAGCAGGAGGUUUGGAGAUUGACCACAGAAAACUUCCAGUUAAUUGCCGUGGUACUAGUUUAGCUGGUAUUGAAGAAGGUUUCCUAGAAGAUGAAAUUGAACACUGCAACCUGCCAGUUGAUUCUUGCAGUAAAGGUCCAUCAGAUGCUGAGAAAACUAAGCAAAGUCUACGAGGGUUGUUUGGAGCAGGUUCUUUAGACAACCAUGAUGAAGCUCCUCAAACUGAAAGUCAGGCAGUGUCGCCUGUGCUGAGAAGUGCAGUGGAUCCUCAUUGGAACUGCAACUGGAUAGGCUUACAGAAUAGAAAGCGCAGCCAUGAAGGCGCAAUUGACGACAGCGAGUUGCGGACGGAUAGUGAGAGCACUUGUAUAGCUGAAACUCAAGUAAAUCCCCCAGGAGGUCAGCAGACCAACUACAGCAAACAGCCAGUUAAUUGUGGUGGUACUAGUUUAGCAGCAGAUACUAGCCUAGAAGAUGGCAUUGAACAUAGCAACCUGCCGGAUAAUUUUCCUAGUAAAGGCCUAGCGGGUAGUGAGAAGCCUAAGCGAAGUCUGCGAAAAUUGUUUGGAGCAGGUUUUCUCAAGGAUUGUGAUGAAGCUAAUGAAUCUGAAACUCGGGUGGUGUCGGCUGUACAGAGAAAUGCAGUGCAGCCUCUGUCAAAUUGCAAUGCUGCAGGCUUGCCUCACAUCGAACAUAUCCAUGAAGGCGCAGUCGGAUACAGUGAGCUACCUGCAGAUCACGAUGUCAUCAGUAUAGCUGAAACUCGAGAAAAUCCCCCAGCAGGUCAGGUGAUCGAACACAACAAACUGCCCGUUAACUGUGGUAGUAUGAGUUUAGCAGCAGAUACUGAAGAAGGUUUCCUAGAAGAUGGCAUUGAACACAGCAAACUACCAGUCAAUUCCCAUAGUAAAGUCAUAGCUGAUACUGAUGAAACUGGCAUCGAACACCGCACACUCACCGUUAGUUCUGGUGGUAUUGGUUCAGCUGUCACAGACGAAAGCUUUCCUGGAGAUGAAAUCAGCCGAAGCAAGCGUAAACUGGAGCAUAAGAAAACAGAAGAAACAGCUGCGGCGGAUGGUUUCGUUGCAAUCAGGACAAAGGUGAAGCCAGCUGAGGAUUGCAGGACAAACAAGAUUCCCAAGGUCUCAACAGGAAGAGAGAACACAACAUUGCAAGAGAACCGCUGCAUUUCGGGGACUACUCCUUUGGGCCAAGGUAGCACUAGAAGCCCCUUGUCAGAUAGGACCAAUAUUUCAGAAGUUGCAGGAGCUCCAUCACAGGAGAUCAGCGGCAAAUGGAAGCACCCUCGCAAAGGCAAGCCCUCCGUUGGCCCUCCGAUGAUACAGCUGCGGUUGGAACAAUGGGUGCGCCGAGUGUAA